CAACAACGGAAAGGAGGUGGUCAGAUGUCUCAUUGUCGCAUGCCGCUCGCGGCUGAUCUCUCGAGCAUGACCUCCACCGCGGGGGUCCGGCUCGGCUGAGCUGUCCGCGUUCGGAUGACAAUGGAAGGGCCGCCCGGUGGGCGGCCCU
Molecule: small RNA, 148 nt
Filed under: Sphingomonas kyeonggiensis
Lineage: Bacteria; Pseudomonadati; Pseudomonadota; Alphaproteobacteria; Sphingomonadales; Sphingomonadaceae
Description: sRNA CC2171
Rfam family: caulobacter sRNA CC2171
Source: RNAcentral